Molecule: ribosomal RNA, 254 nt
Filed under: uncultured bacterium
Lineage: Bacteria
Description: partial 16S ribosomal RNA
Rfam family: Bacterial small subunit ribosomal RNA
Source: RNAcentral
UACGGGGGGGGCAAGCGUUGUUCGGAAUUACUGGGCGUAAAGGGCGCGUAGGCGGUCAGUGCAAGUCAGUUGUGAAAUCUCCGGGCUUAACUCGGAAAGGUCAACUGAUACUGCUCGACUAGAGUGCGGAAGGGGCAACUGGAAUUCUUGGUGUAGCGGUGAAAUGCGUAGAUAUCAAGAGGAACACCUGCGGCGAAGGCGGGUUGCUGGGCCGACACUGACGCUGAUGCGCGAAAGCUAGGGGAGCGAACGGG